Molecule: ribosomal RNA, 523 nt
Filed under: uncultured bacterium
Lineage: Bacteria
Description: bacterial SSU rRNA
Rfam family: Bacterial small subunit ribosomal RNA
Source: RNAcentral
ACUCAAUAGAUACCCAGGUAGUCCACGCCCUAAACGAUGUCUACUAGUUGUCGGGUCUUAAUUGACUUGGUAAACGCAGCUAAACGCGUGAAGUAGACCGCCUGGGGAGUACGGUCGCAAGAUUAAAACUCAAAGGAAUUGACGGGGACCCGCACAAGCGGUGGAUGAUGUGGAUUAAAUUCGAUGCAACGCGAAAAACCUUAACCUACCCUUCGACAUGGAAGGGAAUCCCUGAGAGAUCGGGGAGUGCUCGAAAGAGAACCUUUACACAGGUGCUGCAUGGCUGUCGUCAGCUCGUGUCGUGAGAUGUUGGGUUAAGUCCCGCAACGAGCGCAACCCUUGUCAUUAGUUGCUACGAAAGGGCACUCUAAUGAGACUGCCGGUGACAAACCGGAGGAAGGUGGGGAUGACGUCAAGUCCUCAUGGCCCUUAUGGGUAGGGCUUCACACGUCAUACAAUGGUACAUACAGAGGGCCGCAACCCGCGACGGGGGUAGCUAAUGCCAGAAAGUGUAUCGUAGUCC